GGACGAUAUACUCAGCGAUAGAGUAUCUGCUUUGUGAGCAUAAUAUCCCAGAUUCAAUUCUGGGCAUCUCCA
Non-coding RNA from Podarcis lilfordi (Lilford's wall lizard), 72 nucleotides. The record is from the annotation of a GenBank genome assembly. NCBI's taxonomy places the organism in Eukaryota, Metazoa, Chordata, Lepidosauria, Squamata, Lacertidae.